This is a long non-coding RNA of Cephus cinctus (wheat stem sawfly), 1462 nucleotides long. RefSeq lists it as uncharacterized. NCBI's taxonomy places the organism in Eukaryota, Metazoa, Arthropoda, Insecta, Hymenoptera, Cephidae. The transcript has 3 exons. The record is from RefSeq and is a predicted model, not a curated record.
CUUACCGUUCGUGCAAAUGUCUGUUCUUCUGUAUUGUUGUAUCGAUAAUAUCUUUAGUUGAAAGUAAUUUUAUAACUUUUGAGUAUCUGUUCCCGAGUCAUAGUGAGAUGCUAGAUGUGGAUCUUGUGGAUUUAUAACGUAAAAUCAGUAUAGAUUUGAAAAACGCUGUAAGCAUUUAGUUGAAAAAAUGUACGAAGAGCAUGAUGACAUAAGUCAGUCUUAAUGCUCAAUUAUCCAAGAGAAAUGACAAAAAGAAGCGUUGUUGGUAUAACUGAUAUUUCAACUCAACUCCCCAUCAACUCUACUUGAACCGUUGAAUGUAGAUCAACACUUGAACUCCGCCUAAUGGAAAUACGAUGGAAACGGCUGAAAGUAGAAAAACAGGACUCUGUUUCAGCUCUAUUUGAACUCGGUUCUGUGUCGGUGGAAACUAAGCCAAUGAUGCGUAAAUACGCGAGUUCGAAUAAUUGACCAACCAGAAUAAGAACAACGUGCUGGCAGACUUUCUAGGAAUUUCUUUAAACAAAUGACGAGAGCGAUCUUCAUGGCACUUUUUAGAGCAAUGAACAGUCUUUUGUUUAUACCAAACGUGUCAUGGCUGAUUAUACAGUGCAAGAAUAUCUGCAAAUGGUGGACUUUUAUCGGCGGAAUAAUGGAAAUGCGCAUGCGAUAGCACGAGCAUUUGUGCUCAAUAAUCUGAACAGACGAACUCCUGAUCAUAAAAUAAUCCUGGCGGUAGUUUGUCGUCAAACGGAAACUAAUUCGGUUCUUCCGCCUCGUGAUAUAGGGAGAAGGCGGUGAUGCUCGACCAAUUCAAUUGGCCAGUAGAAAACCCGCUUUUAACAAGGAUCCAAAAUUUUCAAUUGCGAUUCAGCAUACACCUGUGGUGUGGACUAUUCGGAAAUCAACUGAUUGGGCCAGUUAUUUUACCAAAUAAUAUCAAUGGAAAUAACUAUUUACAGUUUCUCCAAGGAGACUUAUUAAAUAUCAUAAACGAUGAAAUACCACCGGAAGUGAGAAGAAGCAUGUAUUUCCAAGACGAUGGCGCUCCAGCACAUUAUUUUAGAAACGUGCCGGAAUUUCUUAAUGAAACCUUUCCCGAGUAUUGGAUCGGUAGAGGCGGGCCUGUACCAUGGCCACCGCGAUCUCCUGAACUAAAUCCUUUGGAUUUUAUUGGGGGUUUUAUUAAACAAAAUAUUUAUUUUCGGUACGAUUCACCCGACAACGAAACUGAAUUAAAUCUUCGAAAUAACGAAGCAGAUGUUGCAGCGAGCAUUAGACUCGUUCGUCACGCGAUUACGAAUGUGCAUAGACGUUCAAGGUCGUCAUUUUGAACAGUGUCUCUAAUGUUAAUAAUCAUUCAAUACAUACAUAAAAUAUAUCAUUAAAGUUGCUGUUUUUAUUUAUGGUAAUUUGUUCAUUCAUCAGCGACUAUUUACUCCACAGUGUCACGUAAAAAGUA